GAUGAACGCUGGCGGCGUGCCUAAUACAUGCAAGUCGAGCGAACGGACGAGAAGCUUGCCUCUCUGAUGUUAGCGGCGGACGGGUGAGUAACACGUGGAUAACCUACCUAUAAGACUGGGAUAACUUCGGGAAACCGGAGCUAAUACCGGAUAAUAUUUUGAACCGCAUGGUUCAAAAGUGAAAGACGGUCUUGCUGUCACUUAUAGAUGGAUCCGCGCUGCAUUAGCUAGUUGGUAAGGUAACGGCUUACCAAGGCAACGAUGCAUAGCCGACCUGAGAGGGUGAUCGGCCACACUGGAACUGAGACACGGUCCAGACUCCUACGGGAGGCAGCAGUAGGGAAUCUUCCGCAAUGGGCGAAAGCCUGACGGAGCAACGCCGCGUGAGUGAUGAAGGUCUUCGGAUCGUAAAACUCUGUAUUAGGGAAGAACAUAUGUGUAAGUAACUGUGCACAUCUUGACGGUACCUAAUCAGAAAGCCACGGCUAACUACGUG
RNAcentral lists this ribosomal RNA (496 nucleotides) under uncultured bacterium. RNAcentral describes it as "partial 16S ribosomal RNA". It matches the Rfam family "Bacterial small subunit ribosomal RNA", at positions 28 to 507 of the family's 1533-position model. The record is from RNAcentral.